This 73-nucleotide transfer RNA is filed under the name Gronococcus sybilensis. RNAcentral's name for it is "tRNA-Trp". It matches the Rfam family "tRNA". Rfam says of the family: Transfer RNA (tRNA) molecules are approximately 80 nucleotides in length. Their secondary structure includes four short double-helical elements and three loops (D, anti-codon, and T loops). Lineage: Eukaryota; Rhodophyta; Bangiophyceae; Cavernulicolales; Cavernulicolaceae. The record is from RNAcentral.
GCGUCCUUAGUUCAGUAGGAAGAACGCAGGUCUCCAAAACCUGAUGUCGAGGGUUCGAGUCCUUCAGGACGUG